UUUGAAAGAGGAUAUUCUCAUAUAUAAAGCAGACAAAUCAAACAAAAGAAUCGUCAUGUUACUUAGAAAAAUAGUGUAACAUUGAAAAGUUCAGAAUUAUAAUCAAAGGGUUACAAGUUCAAUUUGUAGACUCAUAGUGAGUCUGAGAGUCUAGGGUCCCAAAGCGGAACCAUAACUCAAACAUAAAGAUCAAAAUUUCCAAAGAAAACCCCAAAUACUGAGGUUACAAUUCAAACACAGAGGUGACAUGGAAAAUCGUUAAACAAAUUCAGAGGUCUCUUUCAGAGACCAAUGAGAAACAAACAGGCAUAAUACAAAGAAAACUGAUUCAAGGUCAUGGAGAACAUGUCUGAAAGAACUCGGAACUUAAACAAGUUCAGAAGAAAAAGGUGAUACAAACUUAAGGAAAAGCAUAUGAAACAUGUUUAAUAAGAACACGAACAGAGUUCAGCAAUGCAAACAAAAAUCCAAAAAAAAAAACCUCAACGGUAAAUACAUAUAGUAGAAGAGUAAGGAAAACAUAACACUGAUUAACAUGUGAGCACAUGCAUAGUAGAAAAAGAAAAUAAGAAGAACAUUAUAUGCAUAGUAAAAGGAAGUCACAGGAGCAUGAUAUAGCAAACACACAUUAAGAAAAGAGAAGGACGAAUCAAAGAUGUUUUUGAAAACCUUUCAGAAACCCUAACGUGAAGACAAACAAUUUUGAAAGAAAAAUUUCGGGUUAAACACUUUGAAAGUCAAGUAAAGCACAAAAACAUCACAGAUCUAGAAAAAUAAAUAGUGGAAAAACCUCGAACAGCUUAGGGUUUCAGAGAAACCCUAAAAUGAGAAAGGCUUGAAAAAGUAAGACCAUGGGGUCGGAUGAGUGAGAAUCAAGCUCCUGAGGCGUGAAUAUGCCGGAGCAAGGCCGGAGAGGCCACAGAACCAUAGAUCUAAGAAGAUCUUAAAAGGAACCAUUGAGUUCAAGGCCUUGAUUCUUCAAAUAUCAAACACACAGGAGUAAUAAAGGGUGAGUAUAAGGUUAUCAUGGCCGGAUGAGCCAUGAUUUCCGGUGAGCUUGAGGUAGGAGACGGUGAGAGAGGCUAGGGUUUCGAGAGUUUUAGAGAGAAUUUGGAGAGGAGAAUAAUUUUAGAGGCGGCGGAUGAAUGAAAGUGAUUUAGGGUUGGGGUGUUUGUGAAUUAAAAAAGA
RNAcentral lists this long non-coding RNA (1188 nucleotides) under Nicotiana benthamiana. Its description in RNAcentral is "long non-coding RNA (NBEN_LNC013594)". Lineage: Eukaryota; Viridiplantae; Streptophyta; Magnoliopsida; Solanales; Solanaceae. The record is from RNAcentral.